This 474-nucleotide ribosomal RNA is filed under the name uncultured bacterium. RNAcentral describes it as "bacterial SSU rRNA". It matches the Rfam family "Bacterial small subunit ribosomal RNA", at positions 328 to 793 of the family's 1533-position model. The record is from RNAcentral.
CUCUGUGACUCCUACGGGAGGCAGCAGUGGGGAAUAUUGCACAAUCGGGGGAAACCCUGAUGCAGCCAUGCCGCGUGUGUGAAGAAGGCCUUCGGGUUGUAAAGCACUUUCAGUAGGGAGGAAGGUAGUGUAGUUAACACCUGCACUAUUUGACGUUACCUACAGAAGAAGCACCGGCUAACUCCGUGCCAGCAGCCGCGGUAAUACGGAGGGUGCGAGCGUUAAUCGGAAUUACUGGGCGUAAAGCGCAUGCAGGCGGCCUGUUAAGUCAGAUGUGAAAGCCCCGGGGCUUAACCUCGGAAUUGCAUUUGAAACUGGCAGGCUAGAGUCUUGUAGAGGGGGUAGAAUUUCAGGUGUAGCGGUGAAAUGCGUAGAGAUCUGAAGGAAUACCAGUGGCGAAGGCGGCCCCCUGGACAAAGACUGACGCUCAGAUGCGAAAGCGUGGGGAGCAAACAGGAUUAGAUACCCUGGUAG